GAUGAACGCUGGCGGCGUGCCUAAUACAUGCAAGUCGAGCGAACGGACGAGAAGCUUGCUUCUCUGAUGUUAGCGGCGGACGGGUGAGUAACACGUGGAUAACCUACCUAUAAGACUGGGAUAACUUCGGGAAACCGGAGCUAAUACCGGAUAAUAUUUUGAACCGCAUGGUUCAAAAGUGAAAGGCGGUCUUGCUGUCACUUAUAGAUGGAUCCGCGCUGCAUUAGCUAGUUGGUAAGGUAACGGCUUACCAAGGCAACGAUGCAUAGCCGACCUGAGAGGGUGAUCGGCCGCACUGGAACUGAGACACGGUCCAGACUCCUACGGGAGGCAGCAGUAGGGAAUCUUCCGCAAUGGGCGAAAGCCUGACGGAGCAACGCCGCGUGAGUGAUGAAGGUCUUCGGAUCGUAAAACUCUGUUAUUAGGGAAGAACAUAUGUGUAAGUAACUGUGCACAUCUUGACGGUACCUAAUCAGAAAGCCACGGCUAACUACGUG
Molecule: ribosomal RNA, 497 nt
Filed under: uncultured bacterium
Lineage: Bacteria
Description: partial 16S ribosomal RNA
Rfam family: Bacterial small subunit ribosomal RNA
Source: RNAcentral